Mirounga angustirostris (Northern elephant seal) is the source of this 2924-nucleotide long non-coding RNA. RefSeq lists it as uncharacterized. The transcript has 3 exons. The record is from RefSeq and is a predicted model, not a curated record. Lineage: Eukaryota; Metazoa; Chordata; Mammalia; Carnivora; Phocidae.
CUGACUAUAGAGUGUGUAUAGAGUAUAGAUUCGUGGAGGCAGUGCCAUCUUGGGAAAAGUGGGGCUUUUCUUCCCAAAGCUUCUUGGCAGCCCUUGAAGACGGGUCUUCCGUGAUGUACUCACUUUAUUUUCUGACAGAUCUUACAUGGCUGACCUUUUUUUACAUAUCAAAACUAGCCUUCAGGCACCCUGGGGUGCUGCCAGCUUCAGGGACUCGAUUGGCGUCCACACUCUUGACUGGAUGGUCUUGAGCACGUGCGGGUCUUCCCAUGUGUGUGCCGCCUGCGUCCCCGCCCCGCUCUGGGGUUACCACUUACGCACGACGCCAGUCUCCCUGAAAAGGCGGUAGUCUCGUCGUCGAGUCUCUCCGUGUUUGACAGGAAGUCAUCCCUGUGCUGUCUCCUCAUGUGUAACAGGUGAUGCCCCGCAGCCUGUCCCUCCCUGCAUGGCUUCCUGGAAGGGGCGCUAAUUUCAAGUAAGGGGCAGUGGGUCCGCAUCUGCCGGCGGGGCCCAGCUGAAUGGGGCCAGCCCACACAGCGCGCAUCCCCCUCUUGGUGUCGCCAGCAUCCUCACUCCGUACCCCUUCCGUCCUUAGGCCUGCUGUCUGGGACGUGCCGGAAGCUAGCACCUUAGUCAGGUACUCGAAUGGAGGUUGUCCAUGGUGUGUUCAUUUUAUUUAUGAUGAGUAUUACAUGGCCAAUCUCCUUUCAGUACUAAAUUCUUCUUGGGAAAAACUCCACAAGGGCACGUUUCAUCUGGUGCCUGUCCACGGUAAGGAAACGGAGUGUGUACCCCAUGACAAGUGCUUUAUGUGUGACAAUGUCACCCGGCCCAGAAUUCCCAGGAAUGAUGCUGACCUUGUAGGGGAGACAGUGGUUUUCUGGUCACUGUUAACCCCUCCUUCCCUGGAGACUCACUAGUGAAGAAAGCUUAUUUGGUAAGCCUCUGUCCUGUAUGAAGUCAUCUUGGACAUGGGACACAUUCUAGGGGAGGGGACCUUUGCGCUAUGCCAACAGCCUGGCUGAGUGGAGGGCACACACUUUACCUAUGCAUUGUGUUAGGAUGCCUUCAAGUGUCCUAGUCCUCAGGGUGCAAAGCCCACCCUGGGGAGGUGGGGCUGGGGGUGGGGAUUUCUUGGGUCCUGAGAAUCGAGGUAUUUGAAGACAGGUUUCCACGGCAUGAUUUGUUUUUUCCUGGUGCAAGAUAAGAAUCAUUCAUAGCAUGUAUGAUUUACCUUAUGUUUACGAGCUUUGGGAUCUUGGGCAAGUUACUUAGGCGAUCACCUCUGUGCCUCAGUUUACCCAUCUGUAAAACGGAGACAAUGCCUGCUCAUAGAGUAGGUAUAAAACCUCAAUACGUGUGCAGAGUGUUUGGACAGUGCUUGAAAUGUAGUGCAGUUGAAAAAGAAUUGGCUCUUGGGAUGACCAUUAUUACUAUGUUGCUGUUCUAUCAUAGACCUUCCUUUAUCAUUCUCUUGCCCACCAGAGUGCGAGCUCCCUGGGGGUUUUGCUUACUGCUGUGUUCCUCAGUGCACAUGGUAGAUGUGAUGUUGGAUGAAUGGAUAGUGGCUGGUUGACACAUUUUCUUUAUCAAGUGGCUCUCCGAGGCCCUCCUGGAGGAAGAGGGAAUGAAGGACAGCAGCAAGCCUCUGCUUUCCCGAUGACGCGGCCGGUUCGCCCUCGCCAUGCCGGCUCCCCCACUCCAAGAGGAGUCCCCAGUCUUCAGGGCCUGCCCAGCGGAGGCGCCAGCUUUGGGAUGGGACCUGGGUGUCUGUGCCUCUCGAGGAUCAAGCCCUGCCUUGGAGGAUUCCCAGAAGCCACAGCACCCUCAGGAGGUGGCCAGCGGCUGGAGCCCUCGCCAGGGUAGGUGCAUGGGUGCAGCCCCAGGACAUGCCCUGAGUGUGUUGGUGAUGUAUGUCAUCUGGUCCAGUAGCCGCUGCCGCCCAGCCCAUUCUCACGAGCCCGUCAGGAGGUGAUGUCAGCUCUGGGAAAGCAUCUCUGAGCCGCAGGUCAGUAUCUAUGGACAGGGACGCUUCCAUAUUGCGUUUUCUUUCUUCAGGACAGACCUCGGGUGGCCGGUUCCUUGCUGCAAUGGUAGCAAGACCCAAGGGCUUUCUGAACUCGUGCCAACAUCAGGGAAAGGAUUCUGCUGUCGGUCCCACUCCAAAGUUCGCAAAAUGGGUGGUGGGCACAGAAUCCAGACUCUGCUUGUCGCAUAGGUCAUCUGCUCCCUGGCCCUCUCUGGCCAGUCCAUUAUUUGGGGGCAUAUUCUGGAUCUGAUGUCAACUCUGUGAAGAACCAGGGUUCUGAUAUCAGAGCUGCUUUGCCUUUUUUUUGAAGAGAGAUUAUGUUUGGCUCAUUUGCUUUUUUCUCCCCCCACUCCUCCUAGCCUUUAUUUUUGGUGUUUUGCUUGCUUUGCUUGUGAGGCUAAUCAAAUGAUCAACCAGGUUUUUUUUGUAUUAAAUCGCCCUUUGGAGGACGCUGCGGGGGGGUGACGCCUAUACGGGGCUGGAGGUGGUGUUGGGGGCACCUCGGGGAGCGCAGUGCUGGCCGUUAGCACCAUGCACACACGCAGUGCCCCCUGGAGGGAGGCUUUGUGCUGGCGCGGGGCCUGGGGUCACCCUCUCCGGGGUCUGGGAAAGAGGAGCUGAGGGCAGGCAGGGUGGUAUCUUCGUCAGCUGUGCGUCAGACCCAUCGGCAGAUAGCCCCCGUGUAGGACAGUCGGGCAGAAGGGCGCCUCAGAUGCCCGUCAGCUCGCCUGGGGAGCCCUCUAGGGUGGUGCGCCCAAGCAAGGGCACCCUCUUGCCAGCCUGAGAUCCCCCCACGCCCCACGGCCCUCGUAUUCACUUCGGGGAAUGGUCUCUGGAUCUGGCUCAUUCUGGGAGGGGAUGGAAUGGUUGGCCUCAACGGCUGGCGGGGGCAGGG